AAGUCGUAACAAGGUUUCCGUAGGUGAACCUGCGGAAGGAUCAUUACCAAAUCCAAAAUACCCAAACCCCAUGUGAACUAUUGUAUAGUCUGUCUUUGGGAGAAAGUUGUUUAAAACGCCUCUUUCUCCCAAAAGAGUCCGGCAUAUCCGUAUGGAUGUGUCCAGAUUCUUUGAAAAAAUCCCUUAUUUUAAACCACUUGAUUUUUUUGUUGGAAUUUUUCUUUUUAUUAAUUUAAAAAUAAAAGACAACUUUUAACGGCGGAUCUCUUGGCUCGUG
Molecule: unclassified non-coding RNA, 277 nt
Filed under: fungal sp.
Lineage: Eukaryota; Fungi
Description: partial internal transcribed spacer region
Rfam family: Eukaryotic small subunit ribosomal RNA (bases 1-46)
Source: RNAcentral